Molecule: unclassified non-coding RNA, 355 nt
Filed under: soil metagenome
Description: partial contains 5.8S ribosomal RNA, internal transcribed spacer 2, and large subunit ribosomal RNA
Rfam family: 5.8S ribosomal RNA (bases 1-120)
Source: RNAcentral
GAUGAAGAACGUAGCGAAAUGCGAUAAGUAAUGUGAAUUGCAGAAUUCAGUGAAUCAUCGAAUCUUUGAACGCACAUUGCGCCCGCCAGUAUUCUGGCGGGCAUGCCUGUUCGAGCGUCAUUUCAACCCUCAAGCACUGCUUGGUGUUGGGGGCCGGCGAGGUCGUCUUUCUCGACGCGCCGCCCCCGAAAUGACUUGGCGGCCCCGUCGCGGCCCUUCCUCUUGCGUAGUAGCACACACCUCGCAUCGGGAGCCCGACGGCGGCCACUGCCGUAAAACACCCAACUUUCUCAGAAGUUGACCUCGGAUCAGGUAGGAAUACCCGCUGAACUUAAGCAUAUCAAUAAGCGGAGGA